GAUGAACGCUGGCGGCGUGCCUAACACAUGCAAGUCGAGCGAGAAGUAAAGAAAUGAAGCUUCGGUAGAUUUUCAUUAUGGAAAGCGGCGGACGGGUGAGUAACGCGUAGGCAACCUGCCCUGUACAGGGGGAUAGCCACCCGAAAAGGUGAUUAAUACCCCAUGAUGCAAGAGAUACACAUGUAUCACUUGUCAAAGAUUUAUCGGUAUGGGAUGGGCCUGCGUCUGAUUAGCUAGUUGGUAGGGUAACGGCUUACCAAGGCAACGAUCAGUAGCCGACCUGAGAGGGUGAUCGGCCACAUUGGAACUGAGACACGGUCCAAACUCCUACGGGAGGCAGCAGUGGGGAAUAUUGCACAAUGGGGGAAACCCUGAUGCAGCAACGCCGCGUGAAGGAAGAAGGCCUUCGGGUUGUAAACUUCUGUCCUAGGGGAAGAAACAAAUGACAUACCCUGGAGAGC
Molecule: ribosomal RNA, 461 nt
Filed under: [Eubacterium] infirmum
Lineage: Bacteria; Bacillati; Bacillota; Clostridia; Peptostreptococcales; Anaerovoracaceae
Description: bacterial SSU rRNA
Rfam family: Bacterial small subunit ribosomal RNA
Source: RNAcentral